CUUUUGCUUUUGUACUUAAAAUUUUUUCAUACAAAAUUUUUUUCUUUUUUUUUCAACAUUAGAAACAAAUUUGCAAGUUUGUACAAAGACUGUGCAUAUAAAUUUGAAGCAAUCCUAGUUUUUCGUAUGAUAAUACAUGAGUUUCAAUUAAUUUUUGGUUUUUAAAUUAACUUUACUUUUUAGUCAAAUGUCAAGAUUUAUUUUACAUGUAAUAAGUAUUAGCGCAUGAGACAAAUUGACUGAGCGAGAGACAAUGCUACGGUACAAGUCUUUUUUCAAAGCAUCUACUGAACACAUAUGUAUGGCAACGCUCUCUACACUGUUUUCAUGAUGUAUGAAUAUGAUAAUAUGAUGUGAUAUAAGUAUGAGGUACCAAAGUUGAUAUAGAAUGACAAUGAUUUUAUGACUAAGUUCAGCCCGAUAUCGAAAUCCGAAUGCAGAGCGGGCGUCAAGUCGGAUGAUCCUUGAAAACCACGUCUUUAGUACUUAGCAGCGGAUUUCAACAUCGAGUCUUUUUAGGUUGGCCGGAAAAUAUAGAAUAAUCGCGAAGUAAAGGCAUCGGAGGCCAACGAGCGGACAACAAAGCGGGCCAUAGAGGCACGUAUGUGCCCGUAACGUUGAGUCGCGAAGGGAACGGCAGGACGGGCCAAACCUCGUGGAGGGCCAGGAGAGGAUAUCAACGACUGGCGAGGAGAGAGUCAUCGAGGAUCGAACGCGCGAGUUGAUAGGGUUGUCGGAUUCUCUCGGGUGUGGAGUAACUCUUAGAUUUAGCUGAAAUUUGCGGUACCUGAUUCUGCUCUCUCCCGAUGAAAACAAAAUGGCUACUGAGCUGCUGCUGCUCUCGGCUAUCGCCGUCCAAGUUACGUCACCGAGUGCUCUUAUGAACUGGUCCCGAGUCCGUUUAGAUCCUAUAGGUAUAAUCCGGAAUGCAGAAUGGGAACGAUAUCUCGAAUACCGGAACGCGCUAUAUAAUAUUCGAAUUGAUAUAAUCAACGAUAUUGAAUAACUCAAGUAAACUGCUCUGCGAACAUAUUGUAACUAGAAAAGGUAAUCGAGGAUCGGAAAGACGACUCUAUACAUAUAUGCAUACCUGGAAAUUUCAGGAGGAAUUCAAAUCGGCAGAAAAGGCCGCCGGUGCUUUCGAAAUACCUAUAUAGCGACUCGGUUUUUGCUACCAAUCUAUAAGUAUAUACCGGUAGUUUAGAUUGGUAGUUAUAGCCAAGUCGCCACAUUUUUCUAUAUGCACGCAGCUGCAGGUUGGCGCUACAAUUUCUAUCUUGUGGAAAAAAGUAAUAUACCUUGUUAUCCUCAUCUAUAAGAUGUUGACUGUAUAAGGAAACGUGGUGUCAGAGAUGAUGUGUAUUUUUAUUUUGUUAUAAUUAAAAUAUACACUGUGUCAUGGGCCAACAAGCGAAUAAUAAUUAGAGUAACAAAAUAGUUGUCUCAUUAAAUUUCUCUAUCCAUAUCCUUUAAUCUUUCUGUGACUUCGUCGCGAUCCUCCUACAUUCCCGUAACAAUCGUUUCACGCCUCUAUACCGCUAAAUCUCAUCGCUUCUCUUACUCUGUAAUUUCUUGAACUUCAUAUUUUAUAUAAUCUUUCUAUUUCUCUCUCUCGCGCGCGCGCGCGCUUGCUCUCGCACAUACUUAUCAUCCAAUCAUUCUCGCUCAUUUUCUCUGUUACUUAAUAUUUUUGUUCCUUUCUUCUCUCGCUUACAUCCCGUAGCGAAAUACGGUAUACACAGUAUACAGAUUUAUUCUCAAAAGCACACUCGGCUUGGCUAAAGCUUUUUUUCAUUUUUCUUCAAUACGAUCGUACCGAGAGGCGUCUGUCGAACUCGCGACAGAAGAUAUAAUGUGCGCUCAAGUCAAGCCGCCGAUACUUUUUCUCAUCUAAUAAUUCUCAACUCGUAAUGGUUUGCGUGGGUGAAAUUUCGGAAAUGCAGACUUUGCAGUUGCGCAGUUGAAAAAUUUCGAGAGAAUCGAGACAAUGAUGCAUGGUUUCGAUUUUUUAAUCAAAAGUUAAUUCAUUAAACGAAGAAUUUUUAACAUCGUGGAACAACGCGGUAAGGCAUGCAGAAAACAAGUACGAAAGAACGAGUCAGAAAUGCGAACAAUGCGAAUGCUAAACCUGCACUUCCAAGAUUUUACAUGCAUACCGUCAAAGA
Nasonia vitripennis (jewel wasp) is the source of this 2165-nucleotide long non-coding RNA. RefSeq lists it as uncharacterized. NCBI's taxonomy places the organism in Eukaryota, Metazoa, Arthropoda, Insecta, Hymenoptera, Pteromalidae. The record is from RefSeq and is a predicted model, not a curated record. The transcript is spliced from 2 exons.